RNAcentral lists this ribosomal RNA (497 nucleotides) under uncultured bacterium. RNAcentral's name for it is "partial 16S ribosomal RNA". It matches the Rfam family "Bacterial small subunit ribosomal RNA", at positions 28 to 507 of the family's 1533-position model. The record is from RNAcentral.
GAUGAACGCUGGCGGCGUGCCUAAUACAUGCAAGUCGAGCGAACAGACGAGGAGCUUGCUCCUCUGACGUUAGCGGCGGACGGGUGAGUAACACGUGGAUAACCUACCUAUAAGACUGGGAUAACUUCGGGAAACCGGAGCUAAUACCGGAUAAUAUAUUGAACCGCAUGGUUCAAUAGUGAAAGACGGUUUUGCUGUCACUUAUAGAUGGAUCCGCGCCGCAUUAGAUAGUUGGUAAGGUAACGGCUUACCAAGGCGACGAUGCGUAGCCGACCUGAGAGGGUGAUAGGCCGCCCUAGAGCUGAGACAGGGUCCAGAGUCCUGCGAGAGGCAGCAGUAGGGAAUGUUACGCAAUGGGCGAAAGCAUGGCGGAGCAACGCAGCGUGAGUGAUGAAGGUCUUCGGAUCGUAAAGCUCUGUUAUGAGGGAAGAACAAAUGUGUAAGUAACUAUGCACGUAUUGACGGUACCUGAUCAGAAAGCACCGGCUAACUACGUG